RNAcentral lists this ribosomal RNA (253 nucleotides) under uncultured bacterium. Its description in RNAcentral is "partial 16S ribosomal RNA". It matches the Rfam family "Bacterial small subunit ribosomal RNA", at positions 524 to 776 of the family's 1533-position model. The record is from RNAcentral.
UACGGGGGGGGCAAGCGUUGUUCGGAAUUACUGGGCGUAAAGGGCUCGUAGGCGGCCAACUAAGUCAGACGUGAAAUCCCUCAGCUUAACUGGGGAACUGCGUCUGAUACUGGAUGGCUUGGAUUCGGGAGAGGAAUGCGGAAUUCCAGGUGUAGCGGUGACAUGCGUAGAUAUCUGGAGGAACACCGGUGGCGAAGGCGGCAUUCUGGACCGACAUUGACGCUGAGGAGCGAAAGCCAGGGGAGCAAACGGG